RNAcentral lists this ribosomal RNA (497 nucleotides) under uncultured bacterium. RNAcentral describes it as "partial 16S ribosomal RNA". It matches the Rfam family "Bacterial small subunit ribosomal RNA", at positions 28 to 507 of the family's 1533-position model. The record is from RNAcentral.
GAUGAACGCUGGCGGCGUGCUUAAUACAUGCAAGUCGAGCGAACAGACGAGGGGUUUGAUCCUCACUCGUUAGCGGCGGACGGGUGAGACACACGUGUAUAAUCCCCUUAUCUGACUGGGAUAACUUCGGGACACCGGCGCUAAUCCCGGAUAAUAUCUUGAACCGUAUGGUUCUAUAGUGAAUGUCGGUUUUGCUGUCACUUAUCGAUGGAUCCGCGCCGCAGUAGGUAGUUGGUAAGGUAACGGCUUACCAAGGCAACGAUGCGUAGCCGGCCGUAGAGGGGGAGCGGCCACGCGGGAGCGUACAGACACACCAGGCUCCUGCGAGAGGCAGCAGUAGUAAAGCUGGCAGAAGGGGGGAAUACCUGACAGAGCGACGCCGCGUGAUGGAGCAAGGUCGUCUGAGCGUAAAACGCUGUUAUGUUGUAAGAACAUAUGUGUAAGGAACUAUGCACUUCGUGACGGUACCUAGUCAGGAAGCCACGGCUAACUACGUG